Molecule: ribosomal RNA, 509 nt
Filed under: uncultured bacterium
Lineage: Bacteria
Description: bacterial SSU rRNA
Rfam family: Bacterial small subunit ribosomal RNA
Source: RNAcentral
GAUGAACGCUAGCGGCAGGCCUAACACAUGCAAGUCGAGGGGCAUCACGUAAAGUAACUUGUUACUUUUGGUGGCGACCGGCGUACGGGUGCGUAACGCGUAUGCAACCUACCCUUUACAGGGGGAUAACGGAGGGAAACUUCCACUAAUACCCCAUAACAUCAGUUUCGGCAUCGGGAUUGGUUAAAAACUCCGGUGGUAAAGGAUGGGCAUGCGUUGUAUUAGCUAGUUGGAGAGGUAACGGCUCACCAAGGCGACGAUACAUAGGGGGACUGAGAGGUUAACCCCCCACACUGGUACUGAGACACGGACCAGACUCCUACGGGAGGCAGCAGUGAGGAAUAUUGGUCAAUGGGCGCAAGCCUGAACCAGCCAUGCCGCGUGCAGGAAGACGGCUCUAUGAGUUGUAAACUGCUUUUAUAUGGGGAUAAACCCGGUUACGCGUAACCGGUUGAAGGUACCAUAAGAAUAAGGACCGGCUAACUCCGUGCCAGCAGCCGCAGUAACAC